CAGCAGCCGCGGUAAUACGUAGGGUCCGAGCGUUGUCCGGAAUUACUGGGCGUAAAGAGCUCGUAGGUGGUUUGUCGCGUUGUUCGUGAAAACUCACAGCUCAACUGUGGGCGUGCGGGCGAUACGGGCAGACUGGAGUACUGCAGGGGAGACUGGAAUUCCUGGUGUAGCGGUGGAAUGCGCAGAUAUCAGGAGGAACACCGGUGGCGAAGGCGGGUCUCUGGUCUGUAACUGACGCUGAGGAGCGAAAGCGUGGGGAGCGAACAGGAUUAGAUACCCCCGUAGUCCCUGUCUCUUAUAC
This 301-nucleotide ribosomal RNA is filed under the name uncultured bacterium. RNAcentral's name for it is "partial 16S ribosomal RNA". It matches the Rfam family "Bacterial small subunit ribosomal RNA", at positions 509 to 807 of the family's 1533-position model. The record is from RNAcentral.